UUCCGUGGCAGACCCCGCGCCGGGGGACUGCUUAGACGCGGCCCCGCUCAUGCUACCGCAGCGGCAGUUCCUACUACUGCUGCCGCUCCUCCCGCUGCUGCAGCUGCUCCUCCUCCUCGGGCGCUGGCUGCGAGCGGACAGGGGGGCAGGGCGGCGGCAGUGCCUCGCAUCCUGCGCCCGGCCCCGCUCACCGCGUACCGCCACCAGCCGCCGCCCGCUUCCGGGUUCGGGGCGGCCCGGCCCAAGCCGUCACCGCGGGGAGACUGAUGCGGCGGGGCCACCGCGGGAAGGCGCCUCGUCCCCGGCCUCCCUAUUGGCGCCCGACGUGCCACCUCCCCCUGCCCCGGGCGGCCGCGGCCCCCUCUCCUCCGCCAGGCUCUAGCCGGCGGAAUUCUUUCAUCUUUGCCUUCUAGGCUUGCCUUGGGAAGAGCGGGUUUACCCUGCACGUCGGGAUCCGGGCCAGGAGAUUGUCGCCGCUUUUGGCCAAGCUCACCUCGUUGUCUCUGGGACCGACCCUCUCGCCCAGCUGCCCACCCGCAGCGGCCACCGGGCAUCACUGCUUGGCCUCGCAGGCACGAGGUGGGGGCAACGUGCCGCAGGAAGAGGUCAUAGCGAAGUGGGCUCUUGCUGUAUGGCGUGAAGCAGAACCCACUUCUGAAUUUGGGAGUAGUGAACGCGCUGGUGUGUGCUUCCUCACAGGGAUGUUAUUAAAGGAUAAUCAAUGGCUCAAAGGAACCACAGGCCAGUCACUCCAUUUCUCAGACACAACAGGGUUUCCCCAAGUUUUGCUCACAUCCUCAGAUGAAAGUGAUACCUCUGCCACCUUAAUACAGAGCAGCACCUGGAGUGGCACCUACAACCUGGGGAUUACACAAGUCCUGAAUCUGUAAAACUAAAACAAAAAAUCUUACUUUCUACAACUUUGUGACAUGUAUCCCUUCAAAACCUGGUUACCACCUCAAUCUUCAUGCCACUCCGUUAUCUUUUUCCAUAAUGUAACUACCAGAUUUGUAAGGGUCAACUGCUGCUUGCCCUUUGCUGUGUGAUAAUGUUUGCUGGUACACAUUUGCUUAUGAUUAAACUCAGCAUUCGACAG
Pogoniulus pusillus (Red-fronted tinkerbird) is the source of this 1096-nucleotide long non-coding RNA. RefSeq lists it as uncharacterized. NCBI's taxonomy places the organism in Eukaryota, Metazoa, Chordata, Aves, Piciformes, Lybiidae. The record is from RefSeq and is a predicted model, not a curated record. The transcript has 2 exons.